UCGCGGCGGUGCGCGCAGAAGGGUCUGGGCUCGAGCCUGCCUGGAGCCGCCGCCGGUGCAGAUCUUGGUGGUAGUAGCAAAUACUCCAGCGAGGCCCUGGAGGACUGAUGUGGAGAAGGGUUUCGUGUGAACAGCCGUUGCACACGAGUCAGUCGAUCCUAAGCCCUAGGAGAAAUCCGAUGCAAACGGCGAUGGGAAAAACGAACUGAACUCGAUAGAGACAGAGACCCAUUGAACGGGCGAAAGGGAAUCCGGUUCCUAUUCCGGAACCCGGCAGCGGAACCGUUGUUUGUCGGGCCCUCACAAGGGGUUCGUCAGGGCAACCUAAAAGGGCCCGGAGACGCCGUCGGGGGCCCCGGAAAGAGUUUUCUUUUCUCCAUGAGCGUUCGAGUUCCCUGGAAUCCUCUCGCAGGGAGAUAGGGUUUGGAACGCGAAGAGCACCGCAGUUGCGGCGGUGCACGGGAAUUCCCGACGGACCUUGAAAAUCCGGGAGAGGGCCACGUGGAGGUGUCGCGCCGGCUCGUACCCAUAUCCGCAGCAGGUCUCCAAGGUGAAGAGCCUCUAGUC
This 567-nucleotide ribosomal RNA is filed under the name Brachydiplax denticauda. RNAcentral's name for it is "eukaryotic LSU rRNA". It matches the Rfam family "Eukaryotic large subunit ribosomal RNA", at positions 1389 to 1888 of the family's 3401-position model. Lineage: Eukaryota; Metazoa; Arthropoda; Insecta; Odonata; Libellulidae. The record is from RNAcentral.